Molecule: ribosomal RNA, 1445 nt
Filed under: bacterium
Lineage: Bacteria
Description: bacterial SSU rRNA
Rfam family: Bacterial small subunit ribosomal RNA
Source: RNAcentral
GCCGGGCGGCAGGCUACACAUGCAAGUCGAACGGUAGCACAGAGAGCUUGCUCUCGGGUGACGAGUGGCGGACGGGUGAGUAAUGUCUGGGAAACUGCCUGAUGGAGGGGGAUAACUACUGGAAACGGUAGCUAAUACCGCAUAACGUCGCAAGACCAAAGAGGGGGACCUUCGGGCCUCUUGCCAUCAGAUGUGCCCAGAUGGGAUUAGCUAGUAGGUGGGGUAACGGCUCACCUAGGCGACGAUCCCUAGCUGGUCUGAGAGGAUGACCAGCCACACUGGAACUGAGACACGGUCCAGACUCCUACGGGAGGCAGCAGUGGGGAAUAUUGCACAAUGGGCGCAAGCCUGAUGCAGCCAUGCCGCGUGUAUGAAGAAGGCCUUCGGGUUGUAAAGUACUUUCAGCGGGGAGGAAGGUGUUGCGGUUAAUAACCGCAGCAAUUGACGUUACCCGCAGAAGAAGCACCGGCUAACUCCGUGCCAGCAGCCGCGGUAAUACGGAGGGUGCAAGCGUUAAUCGGAAUUACUGGGCGUAAAGCGCACGCAGGCGGUCUGUCAAGUCGGAUGUGAAAUCCCCGGGCUCAACCUGGGAACUGCAUUCGAAACUGGCAGGCUAGAGUCUUGUAGAGGGGGGUAGAAUUCCAGGUGUAGCGGUGAAAUGCGUAGAGAUCUGGAGGAAUACCGGUGGCGAAGGCGGCCCCCUGGACAAAGACUGACGCUCAGGUGCGAAAGCGUGGGGAGCAAACAGGAUUAGAUACCCUGGUAGUCCACGCCGUAAACGAUGUCGACUUGGAGGUUGUGCCCUUGAGGCGUGGCUUCCGGAGCUAACGCGUUAAGUCGACCGCCUGGGGAGUACGGCCGCAAGGUUAAAACUCAAAUGAAUUGACGGGGGCCCGCACAAGCGGUGGAGCAUGUGGUUUAAUUCGAUGCAACGCGAAGAACCUUACCUACUCUUGACAUCCAGAGAACUUUCCAGAGAUGGAUUGGUGCCUUCGGGAACUCUGAGACAGGUGCUGCAUGGCUGUCGUCAGCUCGUGUUGUGAAAUGUUGGGUUAAGUCCCGCAACGAGCGCAACCCUUAUCCUUUGUUGCCAGCGGUCCGGCCGGGAACUCAAAGGAGACUGCCAGUGAUAAACUGGAGGAAGGUGGGGAUGACGUCAAGUCAUCAUGGCCCUUACGAGUAGGGCUACACACGUGCUACAAUGGCGCAUACAAAGAGAAGCGAACUCGCGAGAGCAAGCGGACCUCAUAAAGUGCGUCGUAGUCCGGAUUGGAGUCUGCAACUCGACUCCAUGAAGUCGGAAUCGCUAGUAAUCGUAGAUCAGAAUGCUACGGUGAAUACGUUCCCGGGCCUUGUACACACCGCCCGUCACACCAUGGGAGUGGGUUGCAAAAGAAGUAGGUAGCUUAACCUUCGGGAGGGCGCUACCACUUUGGAUUCCAUGC